Molecule: ribosomal RNA, 468 nt
Filed under: uncultured bacterium
Lineage: Bacteria
Description: partial 16S ribosomal RNA
Rfam family: Bacterial small subunit ribosomal RNA
Source: RNAcentral
GACGAACGCUGGCGGCGUGCUUAACACAUGCAAGUCGAACGGAAAGGCCCUGCUUUUGUGGGGUGCUCGAGUGGCGAACGGGUGAGUAACACGUGAGUAACCUGCCCUUGACUUUGGGAUAACUUCAGGAAACUGGGGCUAAUACCGGAUAGGAGCUCCUGCUGCAUGGUGGGGGUUGGAAAGUUUCGGCGGUUGGGGAUGGACUCGCGGCUUAUCAGCUUGUUGGUGGGGUAGUGGCCUACCAAGGCUUUGACGGGUAGCCGGCCUGGGAGGGUGACCGGGCCCCAUGGGCCCUCGGUACCGGCCCGACCCCCUCGGGGGGGAAGGGGGGGAGAAUGUUCCAAAAGGGGCGGAGUCAUGAAGCAGGACCCCGGGUUGGGGAACGACGUCCUUGGGGUUGAAACCCCUUUUGGCCGGUAAGCACGGGUAGGUACGGUAACUUGUAAAAAAGGCACGGCUAACUACGGG